Prunus persica (peach) is the source of this 825-nucleotide RNA transcript. It is a transcript of the gene named polyketide synthase 1, with no coding region annotated. NCBI's taxonomy places the organism in Eukaryota, Viridiplantae, Streptophyta, Magnoliopsida, Rosales, Rosaceae. The transcript has 2 exons. The record is from RefSeq and is a predicted model, not a curated record.
ACAUUUUCUCAUACUUACCAUUGCAACUGUAAACACACAACCACAACCAGCUCCUAGCCUCCUUGAUCUUUCUUGACGACCGGAGAAAAUGGUGACUGUCGAGGAAGUUCGUAAGGCUCAGCGGGCAGAGGGUCCGGCCACAGUCUUGGCCAUUGGGACAGCAACUCCUCCCAAUUGUGUUGAUCAGGCUACCUACCCCGACUACUACUUUCGUAUUACCAACAGUGAGCACAAGGUUGAGCUCAAGGAAAAAUUCCAGCGCAUGUGCGACAAAUCCAUGAUCAAGAAGCGUUACAUGUACUUGACUGAAGACAUUCUAAAAGAGAACCCAACUAUGUGUGAGUACAUGGCCCCUUCCCUUGAUGCCAGGCAGGACAUGGUGGUUGUUGAAAUUCCAAAACUCGGCAAAGAAGCUGCCACCAAGGCCAUUAAGGAAUGGGGCCAGCCCAAGUCCAAAAUUACCCAUUUGGUCUUUUGCACCACCAGUGGUGUGGACAUGCCUGGGGCGGACUACCAGCUCACCAAGCUCUUGGGCCUCCGCCCGUCCGUGAAGCGCCUCAUGAUGUACCAACAAGGGUGUUUCGCCGGCGGCACGGUGCUCAGGUUGGCCAAGGACUUGGCCGAGAACAACAGGGGUGCUCGUGUUCUCGUUGUGUGCUCGGAGAUCACAGCGGUCACCUUCCGUGGGCCCAAUGAUACCCACCUUGACAGUUUAGUUGGGCCAGGCCUUAUUUGGGUGAUGGUGCAGCAGCUAUUAUUGUGGGUUCGGACCCAAUUCCCGAGAUCGAGAGCCCCUUGUUUGAAGUGGUGUCAGCAGCCCAAACC